GACGAACGCUGGCGGCGUGCCUAAUACAUGCAAGUAGAACGCUGAAGGAGGAGCUUGCUUCUCUGGAUGAGUUGCGCACGGGUGAGUAACGCGUAGGUAACCUGCCUGGUAGCGGGGGAUAACUAUUGGAAACGAUAGCUAAUACCGCAUAAGAGUAGAUGUUGCAUGACAUUUGCUUAAAAGGUGCACUUGCAUCACUACCAGAUGGACCUGCGUUGUAUUAUCUAGUUGGUGGUGUAACGGCUUACCAAGGCGACGAUACAUAGCCGACCUGAGAGGGUGAUCGGCCACACUGGGACUGAGACACGGCCCAGACUCCUAAGGGAGGCAGCAGUAGGGAAGCUUCGGCAAUGGACGGAAGUCCGACCGAGGAAAGCCGGGGGAGGGAAGAAGGGUCUCGGAUCGGAAAGCUCUGUUGUAAGAGAAGAAAGAGGGGGAGAGUGGAAAGUUCACACUGUGACGGUAGCUUAACAGAAAGGGACGGCUAACUACGUG
RNAcentral lists this ribosomal RNA (495 nucleotides) under uncultured bacterium. Its description in RNAcentral is "partial 16S ribosomal RNA". It matches the Rfam family "Bacterial small subunit ribosomal RNA", at positions 28 to 507 of the family's 1533-position model. The record is from RNAcentral.